This 319-nucleotide long non-coding RNA is filed under the name Fukomys damarensis (Damara mole-rat). RNAcentral's name for it is "lncRNA (ENSFDAG00000022877.1)". The record is from RNAcentral. Lineage: Eukaryota; Metazoa; Chordata; Mammalia; Rodentia; Bathyergidae.
CUGAGGACCCUACUUUAUUUAUAUAAUGUAAGCACAGGGUGGACACUCGAUAAAUGAACUCACUUGUUCAGGUUGCUUCUCAGAGCCAGCAGUAGAAGUCUCAGGCAACCCAUGCUACUAAGCUUACACUGGGCUGAGGUCCUCCGUUGGUCACGUGCUUCUUUGCUGCGAGGACAUUGGUCUCUUCAUCAGUGGAUUUCUGACUCCUGGCCUGUAUCUUGCAUCAUUUUUCUUUUAAUUUAAAAUUGAGAUAAAAUACAUUGACAACAAGACUCGGGUGGAAUGUCAUCCUAGAUGCUCACAGCAAAGCAAGUCCCCA